UUAACCAAGUCUCAAUCAAGUGACGCAAUCACGGAAGACUGGUGGCUUCGGGCUAGGGCGGCAAUUCCGAAGGCGGUCAGGAGGUAUUUUGAUACGGUAAUGAUCCUGCUGCACUGGAGGGUGUGGAAAGAGCGAAACGCCAGGAUCUUUGAUCAUGCUUCCAACCCACCUGACUGGGUUCUGGACCGGAUCAAGGAAGACAUGGCCAUGUGGAGAGCCGCGGGAUGCAUUGCUGAUCUCCCGGCUUAG
Molecule: ribosomal RNA, 249 nt
Filed under: Triticum aestivum (bread wheat)
Lineage: Eukaryota; Viridiplantae; Streptophyta; Magnoliopsida; Poales; Poaceae
Description: partial small subunit ribosomal RNA
Source: RNAcentral